GGCGAUAGGCAGCGGUUGUGAAUUCCGAGGCGGCACCGGGGAGAUGGGAUCUGAAGGAGCAAAGGAUGUAGUCAUUCAUGUUACUGGAUUUAAGAAGUUUCAAGGAGUAGCUGAAAAUCCCACAGAGACAAUAGUUAACAAUCUGAAGGAUUAUGUUGAAAAGAGAGGGUUGCCUGCUGGCCUUACUCUAGGAAGUUGCCCCAUUCUUGAGACUGCUGGAGAUGGUGCUCUUCCCACGCUUUACAAGAUCUUGGAAUCGAGCACUGCAGCUACCAAUAAUGGCAAAAACGAACAAAUCGUUUGGCUUCACUUAGGGGUGAAUAGCGGGGCUGUAAGAUUUGCCAUUGAAAGACUAGCAGCGAAUGAAGCCACCUUCUGUUGUCCAGAUGAGCUGGGAUGGCAACCUAAGCAACAUCCCAUAGUCCCUGGGGAUGGAGGAAUUUCCUGCACAAGGGAGACUUGUUGCUCUAUUGAGGUUAUACUGAAGUUUUUGAAGAAGAAGGGCUAUGAGGUGACAAUAUCAAAUGAUGCAGGUCGCUUUGUAUGCAACUAUGUCUAUUAUCACUCUCUUCGAUUUGCAGAACAGAAGGGUCA
This 594-nucleotide unclassified non-coding RNA is filed under the name Hevea brasiliensis (rubber tree). Lineage: Eukaryota; Viridiplantae; Streptophyta; Magnoliopsida; Malpighiales; Euphorbiaceae. The record is from RNAcentral.